Molecule: ribosomal RNA, 253 nt
Filed under: uncultured bacterium
Lineage: Bacteria
Description: partial 16S ribosomal RNA
Rfam family: Bacterial small subunit ribosomal RNA
Source: RNAcentral
UACGAAGGGUGCAAGCGUUACUCGGAAUUACUGGGCGUAAAGCGUGCGUAGGUGGUGAGUUAAGUCUGUCGUGAAAGCCCCGGGCUCAACCUGGGAAUGCCAUUCGAGACUGCAUAGCUAGGGUGCGGAAGAGGGAAGCGGAAUUUCCGGUGUAGCGGUGAAAUGCGUAGAUAUCGGAAGGAACACCAGUGGCGAAAGCGGCUUCCUGGUCCAGCACCGACGUUCAGGCACGAAAGCGUGGGGAGCAAACAGG